GAUGAACGCUGGCGGCGUGCCUAAUACAUGCAAGUCGAGCGAACAGAUGAGGAGCUUGCUCCUCUGACGUUAGCGGCGGACGGGUGAGUAACACGUGGAUAACCUACCUAUAAGACUGGGAUAACUUCGGGAAACCGGAGCUAAUACCGGAUAAUAUAUUGAACCGCAUGGUUCAAUAGUGAAAGACGGCUUUGCUGUCACUUAUAGAUGGAUCCGCGCCGCAUUAGCUAGUUGUUAAGGUAACGGCUUACCAAGGCAACGAUGCGUAGCCGACCUGAGAGGGUGGUCGGCCACACGGGAACUGAGCCACGGUCCAGACUCCUACGGGAGGCAGCAGUAGGGAAUCUUCCGCAAUGGGCGGAAGCCUGACGGAGCAACGCCGCGUGAGUGAUGAAGGUCUUCGGAUCGUAAAACUCUGUUAUUAGGGAAGAACAAAUGUGUAAGUAACUGUGCACGUCUUGACGGUACCUAAUCAGAAAGCCACGGCUAACUACGUG
This 497-nucleotide ribosomal RNA is filed under the name uncultured bacterium. Its description in RNAcentral is "partial 16S ribosomal RNA". It matches the Rfam family "Bacterial small subunit ribosomal RNA", at positions 28 to 507 of the family's 1533-position model. The record is from RNAcentral.